RNAcentral lists this non-coding RNA (32 nucleotides) under Mus musculus (house mouse). The record is from RNAcentral. Lineage: Eukaryota; Metazoa; Chordata; Mammalia; Rodentia; Muridae.
UAUCAGUUACAAAAACCACUGGAAAUAAUAGC